Molecule: transfer RNA, 69 nt
Filed under: Dicyathifer mannii
Lineage: Eukaryota; Metazoa; Mollusca; Bivalvia; Myida; Teredinidae
Description: tRNA-Gln
Source: RNAcentral
AGUGAGUAGGUGUUGUUGUGCACGGGAAAUUUUGGUUUUCUUAGGCGCCGGUCAUAGGGCGACUUGCUA